Long non-coding RNA from Solea solea (common sole), 5505 nucleotides. RefSeq lists it as uncharacterized. Lineage: Eukaryota; Metazoa; Chordata; Actinopteri; Pleuronectiformes; Soleidae. The transcript is spliced from 14 exons. The record is from RefSeq and is a predicted model, not a curated record.
UAUAUCAGCUGUGCACCUGUGGCCUCCUGUCUUUCGCGCUCCUCUUCAGUCAGCAGCUGUGUUUGGUGUAGCCAGAUCUCCCGGGAACAGAAGAGGCAAAGAGCAACGCGCAAUCGAAAAGCUAAAAAAAGAAAGAAAGAAAAGCUUUUACAUUCAUUCAGACACCAAACUUUUCGCGCAGGAGGAAGGAUUUCGUAGCCCGGAAGUGCCAAUUAACGGUGUAUCUUCACCGCGCACCAUGAGUCAUCGCGUUCAAACUGAUGUGCGGGAGAUCAGAAAUCGGAUUCUGAUUCAAGACGCCUUCAGAAAGACAUCAUCGCCCUGCUCCAAGACCAAGUGGUGUUUGUUUGGCUGAAAGAACCCAAACAACACCAAGAAGAAUUUGAUCAUCAUGAAGAUCGUCAAAUAGUAGGACGUCGUUUUUAUUCCGGGUGGUCGCUGUGCCCCCACUACACUCACUCUUCGCUUGGCGGCCGUGCCUUUUUACGUGCAUCUGUCAUGGCCGCCGUGCCAUAUGGCAGCUGUGCCUUUACAUGUACCUGUCAUGGCCGCCGUGCCUUGAAACUUCUUCAGCACACAUUUCACAUACAUAUUAGUACCUUACUUGAGGUAGGCCUGGCCUGUACAAAAUGGCUGCUGUUGCAAGAAACAAUGACCAGUUUUUCUUAUAUUCUAUAAAAUAUUCCAACUUUUUAGGUGUAUCAACGAAAGGGAAGCAUCGUUUUAUAUUACUUUUUUCAGGAUGCAUCUGCACAGCUCAAAUAUUUUGAGAAUAGUAGCUCAUAGCAUAGUAGUAACUAAUAGUCAUUCAUCCAAUUUUAACCUUACGCCGAGCAUUAAUUUCAUCGCGGACUGCCAUCCAACAUUUUGAAUUUCCUCAUUUGACGCAUCAUCGAGCAUUUAUUUCAUCGUGGACUGCCAUCCAGCAUUUUGAAUUUCCUCAUUUGACUGACAUAUCUUCGCAUUUAUUUCAUCGUGGACUGCCAUCCAGCAUUUUGAAUUUCCUCAUUUGACUGACAUAUCUUCGCAUUUAUUUCAUCGUGGACUGCCAUCCAGCAUUUUGAAUUUCCUGACUUUACAUUUUUUGGAAUGCUCCACAUCGGGUCCCGCUGACGUACUGGAAAUGUGAGUACCAUGUCCAAUUACGUACUUAAUUCUUUAAGUUUGUGGUUUUGCAAGGAUACUGUGUUUUAACUGCAAUUUUUUUUUUAUAUUUCAGCUUGUCCAUCCAUGAGGACCGCCCACUUCAUCCAACAUUUUUUCAUAAGAAAAACAAAUGCUUUAUUUAAUUUGCUUGUCCAACAUUUCUCCUGGUGAAUCUUGAGGAAAAAUUAAUGAUAAGGAACUGUCCUUCAAUCUAAAAUACAGCAUAUAUUUUCACAUUUAACUUUGGACUAUGUAUGUAAAAUGGAGGCUGUAUGAGUCACUGAAAAUCCAGUUUAAUUUAUUGGAUUGUAUUUAACCUGUGCUAACAAAGUGGGCAUAAAGGCAAUAAAUAGUUCUAAAUAUGCCCUAGCAAUUGACACAUUUAAUGACCACAAUAUUAGAUUAAGUUCCUCACUAUGCUGGACAUUUGUACAGGUAAUCAAUUAAUGCAUGUUCCAUGAUUGCUGUUUUUGGCAUUGCUCUGUUUGCAUCUCUCUCUGUCUGUCUCUCUUCUGUCUGGGGGCUAGAGUUAGGGUUGGGUAUCAUGCAGCCUAAAUAGACUAAAUUUUGAUAAUUGGGCUUCUGCUAGCUGGGGGAAAUUACUUCCCUUUUUAUGUUAGAGCAGCUUUAGGUUAACAUGAUUUAGCUUAAUCAUGCGCCCCCAAAAUGACAACCUUGAUAAAAGUGGUUUUCCAUGUCAUAGAUAUUUAUUUCCCUAACCAUUAAUUACUCCGGCUUGGAUUGUUUUGUAGCUCUUUGAAAUAAAUCAGUGGCUGUUAAUAAAACAUACUAGAACUCAAAUUACUUUUAUUAGAAUUAAAUUAGGUGGGAUUGAUUAAUUUUAACUAGUAAUUAGUGACUCAAUUGAUUAUUCAGCCCAUGGCAAGUUUCACCACACAGAUUUUGUAAUGCAUAAUGAAAGUUUAAGUUUAGACUACCUUGUCUUGCUCUGCCAGAUUUAAUUCCAACUGGAUACUCAAGUUAGUUGCGACAUACUUCUUUUGCGUAUCGUGUUGGGAGGCCUCCCAGCAGGGGAAUUAUAUUCCCACCCCUGCAGACCGCGUCAUUAGAGUUGCGUUCAUUAUUUACCACGGCAUCCGUGCUGCAUGUCAGUUUCAGGACAUGCGAGGGUCAGUUGUGUGCGAGACAGAAGCUUGGGUUCUCUGGUAGGAUGCAAAUCUGGCAGAGCGACAACUAUGGUAAUUAAAUGGUAACAAUUAUCACACCUAAUGUUUUUUUGCUUUAUUUUCAGAAUUACUGUUGAAGCAGUCAUGACAAUUGAUAGUUCUAAAUUACAGGAUAAACAAAUAGUUUAACUUGACAUACUAUGUUACAUUGUACUAUGGUGUGAAUUUCAGAUCUUAUUCAUUUACAUUGUCUCGAGGCAGAAACUAAAUAAAAAUAGGGCACUUGGCCUUUUGUUGAGCAAAAUCAAAAAAAAAAAGAAAGAUGAGAAGCUCACUUCAGGGCAUUUUCUCCAGUAUUGUCAGGGAAGCCCUCACCCAAUUUAAAUAUUUAACAGUGAUAGUAAUAGAGCUAAAAAGGUUGGUAUUAACCUAGAGACCCAUUAAUUAACAAUCCCUUUAUAUUAUACUUAAACACACUCAAUACACAAAUGAGCACCUUUUUUGUAGAUUUUGAGAAUUUGUAUUUGCGGUGUUCAUCCUUUAUCAGAAUGAGGCUGUAGAAUCAGGAGAAGUCAGCGGGAGGGAUGAUUUUUAGGAUGGACCUGGCCUGGAUACACACCAAGGCAGCUGUGGUAAGAUUAUACCUUGCACACUUGGAACAGGUGAGUUACUGAUGCAAUUCUGAAUUUAUUUUUUUUGGAAUAGGAAUACAAUUGAACUAUCUAAUUGUAUCUUUUUGCUUCACAAGGUGCAGAAUGAGAGCCAAGUGGUGAUGGAGGCCAGGACACCAUGACCCAAAGAUGCAUCUUGGACAGCUGUGAAGGAGCCCCGGCAACCUGCACCAAAUCAUACAUGAUGCGUCUUUGCCAUGAGAUGUCUUCAUAUGUUUAACCUGGAAUCACCUUGACCCUGCUACAAGAUGAGGUCAACCACCAUGCCCCCAGUUUCCAAUGAUAACCCUGGAUAGAAUGCUGUAUAUCUGCAAGCCACGAAACGAGGUCAACCACCAUGCCCCCAGUUUCCAGUGGAUGAAUGGGCUCAGACUGAAUUCGAAUCAAGAAUGGAAAAGCCAAUACGCUGAUGGAUGACACAGUUUGGGAUUUGUGUGGGUCCUGAUGUCAUGAUGCCUCCAAACAAGAUAUGGUCACCACAGUUAAACCAUCGUCGAAACAGACAACUUAAAAUCCUUGACCCCUACUUUGCCCAUUUUCUUAAACAUCCUUGUUUACAAGUCACUGUCUCCAAAUCAUGCAAGAGAUCUUAAGUUCUCUUGCAUGACCCUAUAGAUUUGUAAUUUAACCAAAGUUUCCAUAGUUAACUAAAUAUAGACCUCAGUUUGGAGUCAAUGAGCUGGGUUUCCUUAACACUACAGAGAACGAGGUCAGAGUCGACUCAUCACAUGGUAAGGCUUUAGUCCUUCCCCUUCUUCUCUGUGUGUGACGGAAAUCUGACUAAGGACCCGUACUGACCUGUGUGCUGUGGUUGUGCAGUUUCCAAAACUAGACAAGGAUCCAUCUAGUUUUGUGAAUCAGUUCAACAUGGCAUCAAUAAUCAUCCUCCCUCUUCAUCAGCAAUUGCUGAUGAGCUUUUUUUUUUGGUCAUGUAUAGCAACAUGACUACUCGUAAACACAGCAUGUCUUAAGCAUUUGAGCAAUUUGGAGUCGAGCUUUUAAAGUUGUCCGUUUUAAUCAGUGGCCAUGGGACAUUUCAGACUUAAUCACCAACCCUGAGCACAUUGCAGGGGAUGAUGUGUUGUAAUGGGCCCAGGCUGAAAUUAUAUCCAGGCCACUGGGGUAAAACUCUCUGCCGAGCACACUUGAACAGUUUUUGAUUGAGUAGGUGCAUAAGCCAAAUGGUGAUGGAGCAGGUUCAGUUUCCUGUGCAACUGGGGAACUGAUGUGGGACUCUGACCAGCUGUGACAUGUACCAAGGGAUGGAUUCAGGACGCCAUGACCCAACGAUUUUGCGUCUUGGACAGCUGUGAAGGAAGCGGGCAACCUGCACCAAACCAUACACGAUGCUUCUUCUUUGCCAUGAGAUGUCUUCAUGUAUGCGCAGUCGGAUAAGUUCUUCUAUGUUGCAUUGACCCUGCUACAAGAUGAGGUCAACCACCGUGCCCCCAGUUUCCCGUGGAUGAUGUCCGCUACUCGACUCAAGCUGAAUUCUAAUCAAGGUUGCUAAUAAUGCUCUACAUUGCCCACUUGGAACAGAAUUUUGGGACAUUUAUGUACGACAUUGUGACGUGGAGACAUUGUAUCCUGGACAGCUGUGAAGGAGACGGGGAAACCUGUACCAAACCUUACUUGAUGUCUCAUUGUCAUGAUGCAUCUUCAGGACCUGAGCUCAGGGCCCAGAAUUCAUGACACCUCCAAACAAGAUAUGGUCACCACAGUUGAACCAUUGUCGAAACAGACAACUUAAAAUCCUUGACUCCUACUUUGCCCAUUUUCUUAAACAUCAUUGUUUACAAGUCACUGUCUCCAAAUCAUGCAAGAGAUCUUAAGUUCUCUUGCAUGACCCGAUAGAUUUGUAAUUUAACCAUAAUUAAAUAAAUAUAGACUUCAGUUUGGAGCCGAUGAGCUGGGUUUCCUUAACACUACAGAGAACGAGGUUAGAGUCGACUCAUCACAUGGUAAGGCUUUAGUCCUUCCCCUUCUUCUCUGUGUGACGGAAAUCUGACUAAGGACCCGUACUGACCUGUGUGCUGUGGUUGUGCAGUUUCCAAAACUAGACAAGGAUCCAUCUAGUUUUGUGAAUCAGUUCAACAUGGUAUGCAAUAAUCAUUCUCACUCUUGACAAAUCAGCAAUUGCUGAUUUUUUUUGGUCAUGUAUAACAACAUGACUACUUGUAAUCAUGGCAUGUGUUAAGCAUUUGAGCAAGUUGGAGUCAAACUUUUAAAAUUGUCUGUUUUUAAUCAGUGAUCAUGGGAAAUCUUCAGACUUAAUCACCAACCCUGAGCACAUUGCCUUGACAUCACAACUGCAUGUCUGUAAACCACAAGACGUCAUCAACCACCCACUUCCGAGUUUGCAGGGGAUGAUGCGUAGUAAUGGGCCCAGGCUGAAAUCAUAUCCAGACCAGUGGGGUAAAACACUCUGCCGAGCACACUUGAACAGGUGCAUAAGCCAAAUGGUGAUGAAGCAGGUUCAGUUUCCUGUGCAACUGGGAAACUGAUGUGGGUGACAUGAACUAAAAUGUCCUUGAUGCCUCUUUACUAAUGGAUGGAUUCAG